AUGACUAUUGCGUCAUCGUGGAAGUCGUCGUGGUUCCCCGAAAGGCCUCCACGUCUUCUCCCAGCAUCGGGGCCUUUGGACGCUUCCGGGCGCUGCGGGCACUUGCGCGAGGAGCCCUCGGCUCCCCAGGCGGCUCCCCUCCUCCCCUCCGCGGUCCUCGGCUCCUCCUCCUCCUGCGCGCCCCUCCGCGCGGCCCUCGCAGGGAGUGGGGCUCGGGUGCGCCGGCAGGGCCGCGCUCGGGGAGGCGCCUGGGCCCGCCCUCCUCCGGGGCGCCGCGGGAGGGGCCCGGGCUGGCGCGGGGCGGGGAGAGCCGCCUGGCCCCUCCCCUCCGCCGCCCUCCCCAAAGUUGCCGUCUCCCCCGGGGCCGGCCGGUCUUAUGAUCCGGCGGAUCCUCUUGGGGAGGCCGGGCCGGGGAGAGGGCGCGGGUGCCGAGUGGCGGGGGCAGCGGGCGGGCGCGGCGACCGGGGCCGGGGCGGGGAUCCGGGCGGCGACCGCGGCGGCGGCAGCGCCCCGGGCCCGCCGCCCCCUCCCCUCCGGCGAGGGGAGCCGCUGCAUGGGGCCGGGGGGGCGGCCCUGCGGCGCGGAGCGGCGGCGACGGCGGCGGACCCCCCAGGCGGGCUGGGGCUGAGCCCGGGGCCGGGGCGGGGGCUCCGGGGGGACCAUGCCCGGAGGCCGGCCGGCAGCAGCAUGGCUCACGGGCCCGGCGCGCUGAUGCUCAAGUGCGUGGUGGUCGGCGACGGGGCGGUGGGCAAGACGUGCCUACUCAUGAGCUAUGCCAACGACGCCUUCCCGGAGGAGUACGUGCCCACCGUCUUCGACCACUACGCAGUCAGCGUCACCGUGGGGGGCAAGCAGUACCUCCUAGGACUCUAUGACACGGCCGGACAGUAUAAACAAACAGGAUGACAGGAGAAGCUCGUGGUGCCACAGAAGUGUGGAGCAUGGCGACGCUUAAGCUGAAUUGGGAAUUCAGAGAAGAUCUGCUGGAUGAAGUGAUUUCCAGACUCAAACCUAGAAGACGAGUGGGAGCUCCCAGGUGAAGAAAUACAGAGAGAGAGAAGAAACGGAAACUCGCUGGGCAGGGUCUUGUUCUGUCACCCAGGCUGGAAUGCAGUGGCGUGAUCUCAGCUCACUGCAGCCUCAAUCUCCCAGGCUCAAGUGAUCGUCCCACCUCAGCCUGCCAAGUAGCUGGGACUAUAGGCACAUACCACCACACCUGGCUCAUUUUUUAUUUUUGUAGAGAUGGCAUUUUGCCGUGUUGCCCACACUGAUCUUGAACUCCUGGACUCAAGCAAUCCACCUGUCUCAGCCUCCCAGAGUGCUGUGAUUACAGGCAUAAGCCACUGCACCCAGCCUCCUGUGAUGUUUCAAAUGAAAUAAAGUUCAAUCUUUCUCCUUCAGUGUGGACUGAAAUUACCUUCCUAGAAAAUUCAUUAAAGUCUGAGGGCCGUGGCUCAUGCCUAUAAUCCCAACAUUUUAGGGGGCUGAGGCAGGAUAAUUGCUUGAGCCCAGGAGUUCGAUACUAGCCCAGGCAACAGAGCAAGACCCCUGUCUCUACAAAAAAAAAUAAAAAAAUUUCUGACUAGCUGGGCAUGGUGGCACAUGCCUGUAGUAUCAGCUACUCAGGAGGCUGAAGUGGAGGCUAGAGCCCAGGAGGUCAAGGCUGUAGCAAUCUGUGAUCAUACUAUUGCACUCCAGCCUGGGUGACAGAGUAAAACCGUGCUCAAAAAAGAAAAAGUUUAAAACAUGCGCUAAAGUUAUGCCAAAAAACUUUAUUUUUAUAUAUGCAGCAGAAUCAGGUCCUAGAUUCAUGCGAUUAUAAAAGGUGUUCCAUGGUGAGCAGGUCUAUGCAAACCUACCUUCAAAGGCCGAGGGAGCUGAGAGGCUGAAGAAAGAGACUGACAAAUCCAGUUUCUCAGAAAGAAAUAUUUAAUAGAGACUUAGAAACAGAAAUGAUGUCUAGGUAGGCCAAGAGAUGGUGGAUUCUCACAACCAAUCUCCAGAAAGUAUCCUUUAUAUAGCAAGCUUUUAGGGUAGAGACACAGGAAGCUCAUCAUCCCUGACUUCCUUUAGAAACUCAUGACCACGGGGAGGUUAUGAGGGCUUAUCUGUGCUACUGGAACACCUUGAAUUGUAGGUGUCAAACAUUGGUCAUCAUGGCAGUUUUACUUCAAGAUGGCGUCACUCUUGCUAUGCAACAGGCUGUUUUCCCACAAAAGAGUUUUUCAUAUUUAUGAACAUCUAGCAGUACACUCACCAGUCAUGCGGGCCUGGGGCUGGUUUUCCUCAUACAGGUCAUGUAGCACCAUGGCUCCCACCCUUAAAUGCUAGCAGAGUUUCCCCAUUCAUUUUGACAAUUGACAGCACCUCCCAAAUGUCCGAAAUGCCCCCCAGACAUAGGGUGGUACUGCCCUAGCUGAGAGCCGUGUGCCUACUCCUCUGCUGUACUCUACACAGAAUGAGGGCAGGGUCUGUGUUGUGUUCACUCGUCUAUACACAGCACUCAGCACCUACUUGCCAGAUAUUUGUGGAGUGAAUGAAUGAAUAUUCUAUCAACAUGAAAUUUGUGCCAAAAAGUUAGAAAAGGAGUAUACCACAUGGAAAUGUGACCAGCCAUUUACCUUCUUUCAGCAUGCUUUAGGCCAGCUGACCUCUGUUUUAGUGCAAGAGACUUGUAAUUAUAGCUCCAGACAAUAUGGAAUUUCAGCUCUAAAUCCUUUACAACUGGGAAGUCACCUCACCAUGCACAGAAGAAAUAGCACUGGCUCCGAAGUUGUGGUUUGUCUUUUUUUGGAAAGUCAGGCUUGUCUGCCGAAGAGCUCGAAACACUUGACCAGCUCUCUCAUUUAUCUUAACAUGUGUAUGCUAUAUUUAUUCUCCCUUCACAGAUGGGGAAGUGAAGCUUGCCUGAGGGCCGUAUUUAGCUAAGUCUUGAUCCUCUGCCUUGUGGUGGUCAGCUUAGAUAAAAUGGAAUCCUAAAACUUGAUUUUUAUCCCGUAGUGUGAACCUCCUCCCACAUUAAAUCUGCUAGUAGGGCUGCUCACAAGGGUAAGAAGUGUUAGUUUGAGUGUUUUUUAUCAUGUGACAUGGCGGUCUUCUAGUUCAGUGCCCUGCUUUUAGAGAUGAGGAAGUGCCAAUUCAUCACAACACAGUUAGAUAAUGACAAGGCCAGUCCUCUAGCUGGUUUCUUUCUGCUCCACCAGAUGUAAAUUUUCUCUCUGUUUCCUCCAGCCAACCUAAACAGGAGUUACGAUCAGUCAGGUGGCCAAAAGGAAAGCACAAUGGAAAAGAAGCCCAAGAUCUGGUUCCCUAGCUCCUAAAGAAUUGGUAUAUUAAUUAGGAGGCUGACUUAUUAUAAAUCAAAAUAUAUGAAGAUGACAGUAGCUAAAAGUAAGAAGCUAAACCUUUAAUUUCAAGAAUUCUUUUACUAAGUGCUGAUCAGGCCAGUGACAUAUAAAUACCAUUUCACAACUGAACUGAAAAUUAAAAAAGAAAAGAAAACACCAGAUGUUUGCAAAGUUUUUGAAAAACAGUGACCUCUUAAGAAUUUAUAGCACCUAAAAAAAACCUUUCUCUUCCCCAAAUUUUCUUUAGUCCAGGAGUGCUGGGAGGUAGUAGGAAGUGGUAGGCAAAUUCAGUAAACUCAUCACUGGUGAGUUUUGAACCAAACUUACCAAAGUGUUUUCAAAAAGGACCCAACCCAGCUUCCUUGAAAAACAGAGUUAUUUUUAAGUAGGUAAAAACUGAUAUUUUCAUUUCACAAAGUUAAAUAUAAAAUGAACUCAAAAGUGUCAAAAUGACUACACAAUAGAAAUGAGGUUUCAGGCCAGGCGCGGUGGCUCAUGCCUGUAAUCCCAGCACUUUGGGAGGCCGAGGGAGGCAGAUCACGCGGUCAGGAGAUUGAGACCCUCCUGGCUAACACGGUGAACACCCGUCUCUACUAAAAAUACAAAAAGUUAGCCAGGCGUGGUGGCAGGCACCUGUAAUCCCAGCUACUCAGGAGGCAGAGGCAGGAGAAUUGCUUGAACCCGGGAGGCGGAGGUGGCAGUGAGCCGAGAACAUGCUAUUGCACUCCAGUCUGGGCUAUAAGAGUGAGACUCCAUCUCAAAAAAUAAAAAAAAAAAAUGAAAUGAGGUUUCAUAGGCUACUCUGACCAAGCAUUACCAUAGACAUGUUGUGAUAUAUAAGUUAGAUGUAGGAGAAAACAGUUGCAUUCUCAGAAGCUGGCUUCAUGACAUGUGUCCUAUGGGCUUCCGUGUAGCACCCUUUGAAGGGUGGAGGGUUUCAAGAGCCGGAUGCCUGUUUUGGACUUCUUGCUAGAAACAGAUAUUGUAGAUGAAGAUUACUACUGUGUGCCUUGGAAGUGACACAGAGAAUUGCUACUGCACAGACCACAAAGCCACCACUUUUCAGGGACAUUCUUACUUAGUUGUCAUACGUUUUAUAUCUCUCUUCAAGUAGUCAGAAGCUGCUUUAGAUUUUGGAAGGCUGGGGCUUAUCUGUUACCCCUUGUUCUAGGUUGUUUCUCAUUCUAGGUUGUUACAGAGGAAAACUCUAGUAGGUUUUGAUAAAUGACUAUUUCCUACAUCAAAGUACUAUCCUGCAUUAUUUGGGAUUAUAAUACAUUCCUAUAGUACUUUAUGGUCUUCAAAGCAUUUGUCACUGAUAAGUCUUCCGUUUUUCAGACAGAGAAACUAAGGUCCUAAGGAAUAAGGGACUGGACUAAAGUCGCAUUCCUAGCAUGCUGGAUACGUUCAAGUUCUCUCCAUUCUGUAAGGACCAACUCAAGUGCCUCUUCCAAGAAGUCUUUUCUUAGUGUCCCCUCAUUACUACUUUUUAUAUUUACCACAUUCUAACUUGUAAUAUCAUGUUCACAUACAUCUUGUCUACCUUACCAUGAACAUCCUAAGAGCGAAAGCCGUUAUGCAUUUGUAUGUAUCUCCUCACCUACCAGAAUUGUUCUUGGGUGCUAACCUGAUGCACGUUCCCACACCAGCCUGCAGUUUCCUCUUCUAGGCUGUGGCUUGGAGGUCUGCAAGGCGCUGAAGUGGUGUCCAGGCACAUUGUGGGCACUGCUGCACAUUCAAGUGCAUUGUCUUAUUUUUAACAUACAGAUAUUUAAUGAGAGAGCUUUGUAAAUGUUUGCAAGGUGUUUUACAAAUAGCUGUUAUUUGAAUCUCAUCCUUCCCUCCUUUAUUUAUUGCAGUUAGCACUGUUCUGGGCACAUAGUAGGUGCUUAGUAAUGUUCCUUAAGCAUUUCUAUAUUCACUUGCUCCAGCUUACACUUUUAUUCCCUCCUAUUGUUGUAUAUGACUGUCUUUUUAUAUGUUUAUGUCUUGAAUUCCCAACUAAACAGCAAGCUCCAGAGGGCUAUAGUCUCAAUAAAUCUUUGCUGAUUGCUUUUAAAUAACACAUGAUAGCAUACCAGCUAACAAAGCAUGGCACAAGGUAAAUCGUCCAAUGUGAGUGUUUUUAUUUAAGAUAUGUUUUGGAUAUGUAUUUUAAAAUAGACAUACACAUCCCAAAAACAUAUAUUUUAAACAGAGAUCACUAAGGUAGGAGGGAACACCCAGGUCCACAUAAAGGGGACAAAGAAUGGUGCAGAAGUAGGAGGCUCCUGGGCACUGCUGGCUGAGCUGCACACAGAAAGGGGUCUUCAGCUGAUGGCCGUUGGCUACAUUUCUCUGUGGCAUUGGAAGAGCUUUUGUUUCCUCUCAGAGCACAUUUCUUUAGUUUUUUGUUUGCAGAUUCUUGUCAGGUGGUUAAGUGUGUGAUUUCUUUUUAUUUUCUUUUUUUUUUAAAGACAGGGUCUUACUCUGUCACCCAGGCAUGUUCAUGGCUCACUGCAGGCCCAACCUCUUGAGCUCAAGUGAUCCACCCACCUCAGCCUCCUGAGUAGCUGGGACUGCAGGCAUGUGCCACCAUGCCCAGCUAAUUUUUGUAUUUUUAGUAGAGACAGGAUUUCACCACAUUGGGAAGACUGGUCUCGAACUCCUGGACUCAAGCAAUCUUCCCACCUCGGCCUCCCAAAGUGGUGGGAUUACAAGUGUGAGCCACCGCACCUGGCCAUGUGUGAUAUUUUUAAUGUAAGGUUGUCAUUAUCACAUAUCAAGGACUCUUCAACAAGGGAGAGCCUGAACACUAAGCUGCCAGAACACACUUAAAAACUUGAUACUUCUGGUACUUAGCCAACUGGUAAGAAGCUAAAGAGUCUGCCAUGCAGUCUAACAGCCAUGUUGACUAAACUCACCAGUUCUUUCAUUGUUUUGAUGUUUUUAAUACACUUUUCUCUACCCCUGAGAAUGUUCUAGUUACCAUGCUGAAAUGUUUAAAUACCUGCAUUUUAAAAUUAGAACUAAAAUAUAAUUGGUUUGUUAAUUAGGAGGACACUGGAGAGUUGGCUGUGAGAAGUUGUGACUUUGAUAAGUUGAUCUUUUAAAAGUAAGGGCAGUUGCUCUACAUUUGACUUCUUUGUGUUGUCAAAUUUAAAAUAUAUGGCUCAAGAUGAAAGAUUCUGCACACUUCCACUUAUUCAUUCCCAAAUCCCACAUUUCAUAUUAAAUUCACUCAGGAUACUGUGUGAUGGAUAUAAACCAUUUUAUAUGAUGCAGAGUACAGUAUGCACAGGGGAUAAUUUAUUUGCUAAAUUUGCUAUCUGUUAUUAGACUUCUAAUUACUCAGCUGGAUAGAAGCAGAAAGGUCUCAUUCUUGUACUAACUGCCAAUUUUUUUUUUUUUUUUUUGAGACGGAGUCUAGCUCUGUUGCCCAGGCUGUAGUGCAGUGGUACAAUCUCUGCUCACUGCAACCUCUACCUCCUGGGUUCAAGUGAUUCUCCUGCCUCAGCCUUCCGAAUAGCUGGGAUUACAGGUGUGCACCACCACACCCAGAUAAUUUUUCUAUUUUUAGUAGAGAUGGUGUUUCACCACAUUGGCCAGGCUGGUCUUGGACUGCUGACCUCAAGAGUCCCACCUCAGCCUCCCAAAGUGCUGGGAUUACAGGCGUGGGCCAUCAUGCCCGGCCACUAACUGCCAAUUAUUUAGCCAGAGAUGACAGGCAGAAGGAAUUCAUUUUAGAUAGUUCAGACUUAAGAAGUAACAUUUCUUUCCAAGGAGGUCUAAACAUAUGUGUGUGUUUUAUUUUUUAAUAGCCCCAGUUCUUCACAUUUUAAUUAAUCAAACAAAACCUGCUAUUUAAGAAAUAUCUAGAAAUGAUUGGUCCAGUUGUCCUCCUUUGUGCCCACAUGUCUCUCACGGAGGAAAGUCAGGAUUCACUGUGGUUAUGAAGAGAAUCUGUACAAUAUAUUUACCUUCUGUAAAAUAUUUGGAUUAAUAUUGUUAAGCAUUUCUAGAGAACAUGGCAUUCAAUUAGUUUUUAUUUCUUGUCAUCUCUCACUAGAGAAAGAGCGCACACUUCUGUUUCCCUGAGGAGGUAAACUUGCUUGAAAAGUAAAAUUUCCAUUAAAAUCUCUAAUUUGGCUUUCUUAAAUAUGUCUAUUUUUGUUGCAUUUUAAAUAGUCUUAAGGCUACGUGACUAGUACAGUAAUAAUAUAUCAUUCUCUUUUAUUCAUCUGAAAAUUAUACUGUCUCAAGAGACCUGAGUUUUGUGUGUUUUGAUUUUAUUUCUUACUAGAAGACUUCUCUGUGAUUGGAGGGAGCUGCAAAGCUGAGGCAAGUGUGGGACUCAGGGGACCCUGCAUGGAUUUGCAGAGGAAUAAGAGACUUGGUUUCCCAUGGGAUAGAGAAUUUAUGUUUAAGCAUUGAAAGAGUUCUUUGAUGUACCAGGUAUUAGGCGUAGUGCUUUAGUUGCAUUAUUUCAUUUAUUCCUCAUAAUCCUAUGGGAUAGUAUUCCCAUUCCUAUUUCUGUGAAAAUUGGAAAUCUAAAUAUGGAUGAGGAGUGCUUUUUAAUGAGAACACCCCAUUUUCCGGCCAUGCCAACUGCAGGUUUGCUCAGAAGUGUGGAGUUGCUGGGUGCGAUGCUAAGAUGACAUACUCUUUCUUUUUUUUUUUUUUUUUCUUUUAUGGACUUGCAGUUUGAAACAGGCAGUAGAGCCCAGAAAGUACAUAUAAGGCACCCAAUUGUACUGUUUAACACAAGCUGAUUUUAAAAAUGUUAAAUUUUCAAGAAGUCUUCCUCUAGUAACUGUCUGGGGGUGUAACGUGUUUCAUACCCACCCUAUUUGAUUUCUUCAUUGUGAAUUUCUUAACACCAGAGCACUGCUUUAAUCAAAACCAUUUAGAGGCGUUCACUUUAAAAAAUAAAAGUUGCAGAAGAUUGGGGGUGGCAUUUCCCCUCUCGUCCUGUGAUAGCCAACACCUGAGAAAUCUUUUAAUGCCCACAGCUCCAGAUUAUAGGUGUGCCCUUCAAAAGCAUCACAGAAAAACAAAAGGGUUACCCACCAGUCAAGGGUUUGAGACAUUAACAUGCUUGAGUUGAAAGUUAUAUUAUGAAAAGUGUCAGAAAAAUGCAUGAAAGGAAAAUUGUUCCAUGAGGGAAAUACUACUGCUGAAACUCCAAGUGGAAGAUGAUGUUUUUAAUAUUCCCUUAGUUCCACAUUUGUGUAGUUCUGUAGUGAAACGAGUCAUUUAAGAGGGGAGGUGGCCCAGGCUAAAAAUAAAGUUUCUUUGAAACCAGAUGAGAGUCUAGCUAUGCCAAAAAUGGAAUCCGGACUCUGUUCACUCUCGAGAAUGUAAAUAAGUAGAAUUUUGUGUCACAUAAAAUAGUCUAUGCAAAAAAGGAUAUUCACUGCCUUUUGUGAUAGAGACUAAAAUAACCAUCAGGAGUAUAGCUGUUCUGGGGACUCUGAAGCAACAGUGUAAAAUGAUAUGGUAGUCUAACGUAUUCUGAUUUAGAAAGAUGUCCAAGACAAAGAAAGUGCAGAGCAACAAGUACUGCAUGAUUUCAUUUUAUGUACAGAUGUACGAAUAUGUGCAGUUACUGCUAUAUUCAUGCAUAGAAAAAGAACUGGAAGAAUAAACAUGAAAAUAUUAAGUAGAGGGAAUGAAAGUUGGAGAGUAAAGGAGGAUUUUGGUGGAUUUACUGUAUAUGUUUCUCUUUAAAUUUUCACACACACACACACACACACAA
Molecule: RNA transcript, 9084 nt
Organism: Pongo pygmaeus (Bornean orangutan)
Lineage: Eukaryota; Metazoa; Chordata; Mammalia; Primates; Hominidae
Gene: RHOQ
Gene name: ras homolog family member Q
Exons: 4
Source: RefSeq, a predicted model, not a curated record